RNAcentral lists this long non-coding RNA (121 nucleotides) under Zonotrichia albicollis (white-throated sparrow). RNAcentral describes it as "lncRNA (ENSZALG00000013834.1)". Lineage: Eukaryota; Metazoa; Chordata; Aves; Passeriformes; Passerellidae. The record is from RNAcentral.
AUCCCGGGGCGGGGUGGGGACCCGCGGCAUCGGCAUCCCGGGGAGCGGCAGGCACCAGCAUCCCGGGGACCCGCGGCGCUGGCAUCCCGGGGCGCGGCGAGGACCCUAAGAUCGGUGGAAU